UUCGGAGGAUCCAAGCGUUAUCGGGAAUCAUUGGGUUUAAAGGGUCCGUAGGCGGGUCGAUAAGUCAGUGGUGAAAGUCUGCAGCUUAACUGUAGAACUGCCAUUGAUACUGUUGUCCUUGAGUAAUUAUGAAGUGGUUAGAAUAUGUAGUGUAGCGGUGAAAUGCAUAGAUAUUACAUAGAACACCGAUUGCGAAGGCAGAUCACUAACAAUAUACUGACGCUGAUGGACGAAAGCGUAGGUAGCAAACAGG
Molecule: unclassified non-coding RNA, 253 nt
Filed under: uncultured Flavobacteriaceae bacterium
Lineage: Bacteria; Pseudomonadati; Bacteroidota; Flavobacteriia; Flavobacteriales; Flavobacteriaceae
Description: contains 16S-23S intergenic spacer region
Rfam family: Bacterial small subunit ribosomal RNA
Source: RNAcentral